This is a long non-coding RNA of Lynx canadensis (Canada lynx), 98 nucleotides long. RefSeq lists it as uncharacterized. The transcript is spliced from 3 exons. NCBI's taxonomy places the organism in Eukaryota, Metazoa, Chordata, Mammalia, Carnivora, Felidae. The record is from RefSeq and is a predicted model, not a curated record.
UUUAUUUUUAAGGAAUUUCUGCAUUCAACGUGGGGCUUGAAUUCACAACCCUGAGAUCAAAUGUCAUAUGCUCUAUUGACCGAGCCAACCAGGUUCAC